GGGGAGGCUCCGGGGAGGCGCCGUGCGUCGUGCGCUGCAAGGCUUGGCCUCCGAUAUGUGCGCGGCGCUCGGUUCCCGUUUGACUGAUCAGAUGCUCAGCGCGCGGCUAAACACCGACGGCUGACUAAACUCAGGAGAGCCACUGAAGCGCUCGGCUGGUCGUGUUUCUUCGUUUCCACGACUGUUCUCCACGGAAAUACAGCCUCCGGACCCACUGCGCGUUGCCUCACGUCCCCCUUGGGGGUCGAGGGAGGAAAGAAGUAAAAAAAAAAAAAAAAAAAAAGAACGAUAGGGAGAGACUCCUAGAGAGAGAGAGAGAGAGAGAGAGAGAGAGAGAGAGAGAGAGAGAGAACAGACGCUGGGCUCUGGCUCUGCGGGGCUGGCCGCUUCUCUGUGGUUCGGGGAGGCUCGAGGGCGAUGCUGCUGGGCGGGGAUCUUACACAGUUUCUGCCCGGUGGCGGAGGAGAAGAUGCGAACUGCAGCUACAGAACACCCGCAACGCCACCGUCGUGUUUUCAGACCAAGAAUUGAUGAUGGUGAUGAUGCUGCCUCCCCCAGCGCUCUUUUUCUGCUCCUCCGGAUCCCUUUCGCCCGGGAUUCUUGUUCUCCCGACACUGGAUUAUAGAUGAUUGCUGUGGACACUAUUUUUUUCUUUUAAUUUACAUCAACUCUUUUUAUUUUCCGAAGCGAGGCGCAGGGAAAAGACAUAAAUUGGCGGGCUGAGGACCGGUGUAUUUUAAAAGCGGUUUUUUAUAUAUAAUUGUUUUUUGUUUUUUAUUUUUUGCCUCUCCAAGUGCGUGCAAUCACGCCCAAAAUCAGCGACCGACGCCUUGGCGGUGAGGAGGAGGGGGGGAGAAGAAGAAGACGGAGGAGGAGGGGGAGGAGGGAUGCCGCACCGUCCAUCACCAAAUAUCAACAAAUGUCACCAGGCUCGGAUUUUGGGGAAGCCCCCCUCGGCUGGCGUUUGCGUGUAACCCGAGCAGCAGUGUGGUGGCAGUGAGAGGCUGCAGCGGGACUUUCUGCCGCGACAUAUCAAACGUUGCAGAUCUAUGGAACAAAAUUAAAUGAAUUAUUAAAAAUUUCAUUCGUAUCUAUUUCUAUUUUUAUCACCGCCGGGAAAAAAGGAGGUGGAGGAGGACUU
Long non-coding RNA from Astatotilapia calliptera (eastern happy), 1141 nucleotides. The record is from Ensembl. Lineage: Eukaryota; Metazoa; Chordata; Actinopteri; Cichliformes; Cichlidae.